GACGAACGCUGGCGGCGUGCUUAACACAUGCAAGUCGAACGGACAGGCCCUGCUUUUGUGGGGUGCUCGAGUGGCGAACUGGUGAGUAACACGUGAGUAACCUGCCCUUGACUUUGGUAUAACUUCAGGAAACUGGGGCUAAUACCGGAUAGGAGCUCCUGCUGCAUGGUGGGGGUUGGAAAGUUUCGGCGGUUGGGGAUGGACUCGCGGCCUAUCAGCUUGUUGGUGGGGUAGUGGCUUACCAAGGCUUUGACGGGUAGCCGGCCUGAGAGGGUGACCGGCCACAUUGGGACUGAGAUACGGCCCAGACUCCUACGGGAGGCAGCAGUGGGGAAUAGUGCACAAUGGGCGGGAGCCUGAUGCAGCAACGCCGCGUGCGGGAUGACGGCCUUCGGGUUGUAUACCGCUGUCGCCUGUGACGAAGCGUGAGUGACGGUAAUGGGUAAAGAAGCACCGGCUAACUACGUG
RNAcentral lists this ribosomal RNA (468 nucleotides) under uncultured bacterium. RNAcentral's name for it is "partial 16S ribosomal RNA". It matches the Rfam family "Bacterial small subunit ribosomal RNA", at positions 28 to 507 of the family's 1533-position model. The record is from RNAcentral.